Molecule: transfer RNA, 75 nt
Filed under: Puniceicoccales bacterium
Lineage: Bacteria; Pseudomonadati; Verrucomicrobiota; Opitutia; Puniceicoccales
Description: tRNA-Lys
Rfam family: tRNA
About the family: Transfer RNA (tRNA) molecules are approximately 80 nucleotides in length. Their secondary structure includes four short double-helical elements and three loops (D, anti-codon, and T loops).
Source: RNAcentral
GGGCUGGUAGCUCAACGGUAGAGCAGUGGCCUUUUAAGCCAUUGGUUCUGGGUUCGAAUCCCAGUCGGCCCACCA